AAUCAGUGUGAAGUAGCAGCAAUGCCGUGCGCUUAUUGAUAUUGUACGUAUGCUUCAUAGACUUCAUUUAUAGGUAAAGGGAGAUCACUCUCAAUAAGUGACCUUCGUCUGCAAAACAAGUAAGUGAUAAAGUACUCAGAAUUUGACUGAUGUUGUCAAUCGGACGACAACCAUGAAGAGAGGCAGGUCGCCAGUAGUGGAGGAGGGACAGGAGCUGCAAGGAAAGAAGCCAGAUGUUGGAAUUAAACCGAGUCAAAGGGACUGGUCAACCCGGCCACCCACAACCUCCGCAGCCAGGGUGCAGUGGGGGCCGUACCUGGCGGAGAGACAGUGGGGGACUGUCAGGGAGGACCUGUCUACAGAUAGAAACUGCUGGUCAAGCCUGUCCUACGAUGCCGCAGUGAGAACUGCCUACAUGUCUGGAGAGGAUGGACUGUUUGGAGUGAGUGACCAGAACUGCCUCAUGUGUGCAGCCAUUGCGCUGUGGAACCAUAAUGAUCCCUGCCUCAAGGAGAGACUGUUUGGCCUCUCAAAUCCACAGGGAAACCAUGGAGAAGAUGUGAAGGAGCUGUACUACUAUCUUGACAACAACCCGAGGCACACCUACAUGAAGGCGUUGUACAAGUACCCCCAGAGCAGCUUCCCUUAUGACCAGCUGGUCACACAGAACACCAACAGAGGCACUGACCAGCCGGAGUUGGAGCUUCUCGAUACAGGGGUGUUUAAGGACAGCAAAUACUGGGAUGUAUAUGUGGAGUAUGCUAAGAUGGCCGAGGAAGACCUCAUCUGCUGUGUGACUGUCAUCAACCAGUCAGAGACCACAGAGGAGAUCCUUGUCAUGCCACAGGUUUGGUUUAGGAAUACAUGGAGUGAGUCACCCGUUGAAGCAGCUGACAGCAAACCCUCCUUCCAUCUCACAGCAGCAGGAUCCGUGCAGGCUAGCAGUCAUCUAGGGCAAUUUCAGGUUGAGUUUCACACCGACACGGUCAGCCCAGGGGAGGUGUUGUUCUGCAACAACGACACUCGGCCAGGCUCACACCAUAAGAGUACUGAACACCUGGAGACUCGGCCGAGCUCACACCAUCAGAGUACUGAACACCUGGACACACGGCCGAGCUCACACCAUCAGAGUACUGAACACCUGGACACUCGGCUGGGCUCACACCGUCAGAGUACUGAACACCUGGACACCCAGCCAGGCUCACACCGUCAGAGUACUGAACACCUGGACACCCAGCCAGGCUCACACCAUCCGAGUACUGAACACCUGGACACUCAGCCAGGCUCACACCGUCAGAGUACUGAACACCUGGACACCCAGCCAGGCUCACACCGUCAGAGUACUGAACACCUGGACACCCAGCCAGGCUCACACCGUCAGAGUACUGAACACCUGGACACUCAGCCAGGCUCACACCGUCAGAGUACUGAACACCUGGACACUCAGCCGGGCUCACACCGUCAGAGUACUGAACACCUGGACACCCAGCCAGGCUCACACCGUCAGAGUACUGAACACCUGGACACUCAGCCGGGCUCACACCAUCCGAGUACUGAACACCUGGACACUCAGCCAGGCUCACACCGUCAGAGUACUGAACACCUGGACACUCAGCCGGGCUCACACCAUCCGAGUACUGAACACCUGGACACUCGGCCAAGCUCACACCAUCAGAGUACUGAACACCUGGACACUCAGCCGGGCUCACACCAUCCGAGUACUGAACACCUGGACACUCGGCCCAGCUCACAACUGAGUACUGAACACACUGAAACUCCACCAGCCACACAAAAGGACAAUGUGAACCUGGAGACAAGCUUCUAUAAGGAUGCCUUUCACAGAUACAUCGUACAAGGUGAUUGUACUGCUGUAAACUCUGGCCACUAUGGAAGUAAAUGUGCUGCCCCCUACUGGCUAACAGUGACCCCUGGUGGCCACAAGAAGAUCUACUGGUCAAUACAGAACUCCAACACUUGCUCAGCUCUGAGUGUUUUGCAGAUGGACAAUAUCAUCAACAAGAGAAAAGCUGAAACAAAAAUGUUUUAUUCUAAACUCAUGUCCCCAAAGUGGAGUAAAGAGGAGGAGUCACUAUCCCGGCAGGCUGUGGCAGGCCUGCUGUGGUCCAAGCAGUUCUACCUGUAUGAUGUGGAGAAGGCCAUUAACAGGUCAAGAGGUCAGGACAAGGCCAGUGCGACCUCCGAUGACCCUACAGUGAGGCAAGUGUGGAACGAGGGAUGGCAGCACAUCAGGAACUCGGACAUCAUCGCUGUGCCAGACAAGUGGGAGUUUCCUUGGUAUGCCCCAUGGGACCUGGCGUUCCACAUGAUCCCGUACAUCCGUGUCGACAUUGACUUCUGUAAACAUCAGCUGGAGCUGUUCCUCACAGACAGAUACAUGAAGAGUGAUGGGCAGUUUCCAGGCUGUGAGUUUAACCUCAGUGACCCCAACCCUCCCCUACAUGCAUGGGCGUGUCUAGGUGUGCACCGAGCUGAUGACAGUAACGACAUUGACUUCCUGACCCGCUGCUACCCUACCCUCAUCAGAAACUUUGAAUGGUGGAUGGGUCGUCUCAGCCCUGACAGCCUCUACGUCAGCGGCGGCUUCCUGGGCUUGGACAACAUCAGCGUGAUUGACAGGUCCAACACACCCCAGGGGUACACGCUGACACAGGCAGAUGGGUCGGCAUGGGUGGCACUUGCCGCUCUCAACAUGGCCGAAAUAUCUCUGCACAUGGACAUCACUGAACCUAGCUGUCUCCUCCAAUCAAAACACUUCUUAGAUGUCUUCCUACACAUUGCAGUACAGAUGAAUCGCAGCCUCAACAAUGGAGGCCUAUGGCAUCCAGGAGACAGAUUCUACUACGAUGUUCUGCACCGCGGGGCAGAGCCGAUCCCUGUACGGCUGAAGUCAUUAGUGGGCCUGGUACCGCUGUUUGCUGCUGCAGUCAUUGACGUCCCUGCCGGUGCUGCAGCUGUCACAGAGAGGCUGGAGACAUGUAGCAGCAAGGAAAAGGAGCAUGUACACAAGAUGAAGGACAACAGGUACUACCUGUCCCUCGUCCCCAAGUCUCGGCUCCUGCACAUCCUACAAGCUGUCUGUGAUCCUCACAUGUUUCUCUCUCCGUUUGGUGUCCGCUCGUUAGCAAAGAUGUAUGACAGAGAGCCCUACAGCCUUGUGCUGGAGCCUGACAUCUACAGUGUCCGAUAUACACCAGGGGAGUCGGACUCACGCAUGUUUGGUGGAAACAGCAACUGGAGGGGUCCUGUCUGGCUGUGCAGUGAGUGGUGAUGGUUGUUACAGUCAGAUAUACACCAGGGGAGUCGGACUUGCGCAUGUUUGGUGGGAACAGCAACUGGAGGGGUCCUGUCUGGCUGUGCAGUGAGUGGUGAUGGUUGUUACAGUCAGAUAUACACCAGGGGAGUCGGACUUGCGCAUGUUUGGUGGGAACAGCAACUGGAGUGGUCCGGUCUGGCUGUGCAGUGAGUGGUGAUGGUUGUUACAGUCAGAUAUACACCAGGGGAGUCAGACUUGCGCAUGUUUGGUGGGAACAGCAACUGGAGGGGUCCUGUCUGGCUGUGCAGUGAGUGGUGAUGGUUGUUACAGUCAGAUAUACACCAGGGGAGUCAGACUUGCGCAUGUUUGGUGGGAACAGCAACUGGAGGGGUCCUGUCUGGCUGUGCAGUGAGUGGUGAUGGUUGUUACAGUCAGAUAUACACCAGGGGAGUCAGACUUGCACAUGUUUGGUGGGAACAGCAACUGGAGGGGUCCUGUCUGGCUGUGCAGUGAGUGGUGAUGGUUGUUACAGUCAGAUAUACACCAGGGGAGUCGGACUUGCGCAUGUUUGGUGGGAACAGCAACUGGAGGGGUCCUGUCUGGCUGUGCAGUGAGUGGUGAUGGUUGUUACAGUCAGAUAUACACCAGGGGAGUCGGACUUGCGCAUGUUUGGUGGGAACAGCAACUGGAGGGGUCCUGUCUGGCUGUGCAGUGAGUGGUGAUGGUUGUUACAGUCAGAUAUACACCAGGGGAGUCAGACUUGCACAUGUUUGGUGGGAACAGCAACUGGAGGGGUCCUGUCUGGCUGUGCAGUGAGUGGUGAUGGUUGUUACAGUCAGAUAUACACCAGGGGAGUCGGACUUGCACAUGUUUGGUGGGAACAGCAACUGGAGUGGUCCUGUCUGGCUGUGCAGUGAGUGGUGAUGGUUGUUACAGUCAGAUAUACACCAGGGGAGUCGGACUUGCGCAUGUUUGGUGGGAACAGCAACUGGAGUGGUCCUGUCUGGCUGUGCAGUGAGUGGUGAUGGUUGUUACAGUCAGAUAUACACCAGGGGAGUCGGACUUGCGCAUGUUUGGUGGGAACAGCAACUGGAGGGGUCCUGUCUGGCUGUGCAGUGAGUGGUGAUGGUUGUUACAGUCAGAUAUACACCAGGGGAGUCGGACUUGCGCAUGUUUGGUGGAAACAGCAACUGGAGGGGUCCUGUCUGGCUGUGCAGUGAGUGGUGAUGGUUGUUACAGUCAGAUAUACACCAGGGGAGUCGGACUUGCGCAUGUUUGUGGGAACAGCAACUGGAGGGGUCCUGUCUGGCUGUGCAGUGAGUGGUGAUGGUUGUUACAGUCAGAUAUACACCAGGGGAGUCGGACUUGCGCAUGUUUGUGGGAACAGCAACUGGAGGGGUCCUGUCUGGCUGUGCAUGAACUAUCUGAUGGUGGACAGUCUUGACACAGCCAGUGAGGUGUACGGCAACACCUUCAGGCUAGAGCACCCCACCGGCUCCGGACACAUGGCAUCACUCGCGGACGUUGCUGUGGAUGUUGC
Molecule: RNA transcript, 4814 nt
Organism: Haliotis rufescens (red abalone)
Lineage: Eukaryota; Metazoa; Mollusca; Gastropoda; Lepetellida; Haliotidae
Exons: 18
Source: RefSeq, a predicted model, not a curated record